This 301-nucleotide ribosomal RNA is filed under the name uncultured bacterium. RNAcentral's name for it is "partial 16S ribosomal RNA". It matches the Rfam family "Bacterial small subunit ribosomal RNA", at positions 509 to 807 of the family's 1533-position model. The record is from RNAcentral.
CAGCCGCCACGGUAACACGUAGGGUGCGAGCGUUAAUCGGAAUUACUGGGCGUAAAGCGUGCGCAGGCGGUUGUGUAAGACAGGUGUGAAAUCCCCGGGCUUAACCUGGGAACUGCGCUUGUGACUGCACAGCUAGAGUAUGGCAGAGGGGGGCGGAAUUCCACGUGUAGCAGUGAAAUGCGUAGAGAUGUGGAGGAACACCGAUGGCGAAGGCAGCCCCCUGGGCCAAUACUGACGCUCAUGCACGAAAGCGUGGGGAGCAAACAGGAUUAGAUACCCCCGUAGUCCCUGUCUCUUAUAC